This 527-nucleotide long non-coding RNA is filed under the name Spirodela polyrhiza (greater duckweed). RNAcentral describes it as "long non-coding RNA (SPOL_LNC000430)". Lineage: Eukaryota; Viridiplantae; Streptophyta; Magnoliopsida; Alismatales; Araceae. The record is from RNAcentral.
CAAAAAGAUCAGGAACCCUCAAAAAUUUGGGGAUACUUCGCUAUGUUUCAAUGAAUUAUGUGCAAAAACUCAAUUUCUUAGUGAUUAAGGAUGAUAUUUGCCAAGCCAGAUGUUCGGAAGGAGACCGGAGGGAGAAGCAGUCACCUUGUUUUCCGCACCAUCAGGAGGUGAAAUCCUUUUUGACGAAGGCCAAGUUGACCUUCUCUCUGAAAGCAAGUGGCACCUUAAAAAUCUCAGAAAGCCAUGAACUGAUUGUUAGAGAUGAAAGCCCAAUAUGGACUUAGUGCGGAAGCUAGAAGAUAGAAACGAAAUGAACAACUCACAACCGGAGACACAAGGAUUUACGUGGUUCGGAGGUUGGCCUCCUACGUCAACGGGCGGCGAUGAAAAACUCCACUAGAUGUAGAAGAAGUAUAGAAUAGCACUCCCCAUAACCCAGAAUAUAGACCUCUAAUCUUGGCCCUCAAAGAACUCACUAGUCCUUCACCAACAAGUAGAGAUCACUCUGUUGGAAACUCACUCCCAAC